This 290-nucleotide long non-coding RNA is filed under the name Musa acuminata (dwarf banana). RNAcentral's name for it is "long non-coding RNA (MACU_LNC003810)". The record is from RNAcentral. Lineage: Eukaryota; Viridiplantae; Streptophyta; Magnoliopsida; Zingiberales; Musaceae.
CCUUAUACUUCAUUUCCAAUCACAGCCAAACCAAAGUGUUAAAGAGACAAAUUGAGACGAGUUGAAAUGAAGCUAUGUAUCCUUUUACUGAGCCUGAUGAACUAUCAAGUCCUGCAUAUAUUUUGGCUUUUCCCUGAUGUAUAUCUCUUCUCCUUUUUCUUCUUAGGUCAUCGAAAGGCUUGACGAGUGAUAGGAGUAUCUGCCACUGACUUCCAUGUCUGACUAAACUGGCUCGCUUAAAAUCAUCUUCCCAGACACUCUCAAAAGACCAAGUAGGAACUUUUGGACCU